GUAACUGGAAAAGAUUGGGGGGAAUCCAUAAAAAUCUAGGCAGAUUCCAUAGUCAAAUUGAUUUUCAGCCAUCUUUGGGUUUUUUCCUCUCCUUUAAAGAAACUGAACCUGAAAAUCAAGCAGAUUUCUGGCUUUACGAGAGAGACAGUUAGGAAUUCCAGACUGUGGAUGGGCCCCUGUUUAAAAAUAAGGCAUUGCUCCUGUACCAAGCUUGUGAAUAAGUGUA
This is a long non-coding RNA of Phyllostomus discolor (pale spear-nosed bat), 226 nucleotides long. RefSeq lists it as uncharacterized. Lineage: Eukaryota; Metazoa; Chordata; Mammalia; Chiroptera; Phyllostomidae. The record is from RefSeq and is a predicted model, not a curated record. The transcript is spliced from 3 exons.